RNAcentral lists this ribosomal RNA (261 nucleotides) under uncultured Glomus. Its description in RNAcentral is "partial 18S ribosomal RNA". It matches the Rfam family "Eukaryotic small subunit ribosomal RNA", at positions 624 to 886 of the family's 1831-position model. Lineage: Eukaryota; Fungi; Glomeromycota; Glomeromycetes; Glomerales; Glomeraceae. The record is from RNAcentral.
AAGCUCGUAGUUGAAUUUCGGGAUCAGUUCGCUGGUCGUGCCUUCGGUAGUAUGCACUGGUGUCACUGAUUCCUCCCUUCUGAAGAACCGUAAUGCCAUUCAGUUGGUGUGACGGGGAAUUAGGAUUGUUACUUUGAAAAAAUUAGAGUGUUUAAAGCAGGCUCGCGCUUGAAUACAUUAGCAUGGAAUAAUGAAAUAGGACGUUUGAUCCUAUUUUGUUGGUUUCUAGGAUCGACGUAAUGAUUAAUAGGGAUAGUUGGG